RNAcentral lists this ribosomal RNA (1240 nucleotides) under Salmonella enterica. RNAcentral describes it as "partial 23S ribosomal RNA". It matches the Rfam family "Bacterial large subunit ribosomal RNA", at positions 1720 to 2925 of the family's 2925-position model. The record is from RNAcentral. Lineage: Bacteria; Pseudomonadati; Pseudomonadota; Gammaproteobacteria; Enterobacterales; Enterobacteriaceae.
AAAUGGUGCCGUAACUUCGGGAGAAGGCACGCUGACACGUAGGUGAAGUGAUUUACUCAUGGAGCUGAAGUCAGUCGAAGAUACCAGCUGGCUGCAACUGUUUAUUAAAAACACAGCACUGUGCAAACACGAAAGUGGACGUAUACGGUGUGACGCCUGCCCGGUGCCGGAAGGUUAAUUGAUGGGGUCAGCGCAAGCGAAGCUCCUGAUCGAAGCCCCGGUAAACGGCGGCCGUAACUAUAACGGUCCUAAGGUAGCGAAAUUCCUUGUCGGGUAAGUUCCGACCUGCACGAAUGGCGUAAUGAUGGCCAGGCUGUCUCCACCCGAGACUCAGUGAAAUUGAACUCGCUGUGAAGAUGCAGUGUACCCGCGGCAAGACGGAAAGACCCCGUGAACCUUUACUAUAGCUUGACACUGAACAUUGAGCCUUGAUGUGUAGGAUAGGUGGGAGGCUUUGAAGUGUGGACGCCAGUCUGCAUGGAGCCGACCUUGAAAUACCACCCUUUAAUGUUUGAUGUUCUAACGUGGACCCGUUACCCGGGUUGCGGACAGUGUCUGGUGGGUAGUUUGACUGGGGCGGUCUCCUCCUAAAGAGUAACGGAGGAGCACGAAGGUUGGCUAAUCCUGGUCGGACAUCAGGAGGUUAGUGCAAUGGCAUAAGCCAGCUUGACUGCGAGCGUGACGGCGCGAGCAGGUGCGAAAGCAGGUCAUAGUGAUCCGGUGGUUCUGAAUGGAAGGGCCAUCGCUCAACGGAUAAAAGGUACUCCGGGGAUAACAGGCUGAUACCGCCCAAGAGUUCAUAUCGACGGCGGUGUUUGGCACCUCGAUGUCGGCUCAUCACAUCCUGGGGCUGAAGUAGGUCCCAAGGGUAUGGCUGUUCGCCAUUUAAAGUGGUACGCGAGCUGGGUUUAGAACGUCGUGAGACAGUUCGGUCCCUAUCUGCCGUGGGCGCUGGAGAACUGAGGGGGGCUGCUCCUAGUACGAGAGGACCGGAGUGGACGCAUCACUGGUGUUCGGGUUGUCAUGCCAAUGGCACUGCCCGGUAGCUAAAUGCGGAAGAGAUAAGUGCUGAAAGCAUCUAAGCACGAAACUUGCCCCGAGAUGAGUUCUCCCUGAGACUUAAAGUCUCCUGAAGGAACGUUGAAGACGACGACGUUGAUAGGCCGGGUGUGUAAGCGCAGCGAUGCGUUGAGCUAACCGGUACUAAUGAACCGUGAGGCUUAACCUUACAACGCCGAAG